UACGUAGGGUGCAAGCGUUGUCCGGAAUUAUUGGGCGUAAAGAGCUCGUAGGCGGUUUGUUGCGUCGGCUGUGAAAUCCCGAGGCUCAACCUCGGGUCUGCAGUCGAUACGAGCAAACUAGAGUGUUGCAGGGGAGACUGGAAUUCCUGGUGUAGCGGUGAAAUGCGCAGAUAUCAGGAGGAACACCGGUGGCGAAGGCGGCAUCCUGGACCAACACUGACGCUGAGUGAGCGAAAGCCAGGGGAGCAAACGGG
RNAcentral lists this ribosomal RNA (254 nucleotides) under uncultured bacterium. Its description in RNAcentral is "partial 16S ribosomal RNA". It matches the Rfam family "Bacterial small subunit ribosomal RNA", at positions 524 to 776 of the family's 1533-position model. The record is from RNAcentral.